Molecule: ribosomal RNA, 618 nt
Filed under: uncultured Campylobacterota bacterium
Lineage: Bacteria; Pseudomonadati; Campylobacterota
Description: bacterial SSU rRNA
Rfam family: Bacterial small subunit ribosomal RNA
Source: RNAcentral
UAAAACUCAAAGGAAUAGACGGGGACCCGCACAAGUGGUGGAGCAUGUGGUUUAAUUCGAAGAUACACGAAGAACCUUACCUGGCCUUGACAUGGUAGGAACCCUUAAGAGAUUAGGGGGUGCUAGCUUGCUAGAACCUACACACAGGUGCUGCACGGCUGUCGUCAGCUCGUGUCGUGAGAUGUUGGGUUAAGUCCCGCAACGAGCGCAACCCUCGUCGUUAGUUGCUAACAGUUCGGCUGAGCACUCUAACGAGACUGCCUUCGUAAGGAGGAGGAAGGUGAGGACGACGUCAAGUCAUCAUGGCCCUUACGGCCAGGGCUACACACGUGCUACAAUGGGGCGUACAAAGAGCUGCAAUACCGCGAGGUGGAGCCAAUCUCUUAAAGCGUCUCUCAGUUCGGAUUGUUCUCUGCAACUCGAGAACAUGAAGCUGGAAUCGCUAGUAAAGGCGUAUCAGCUACGACGCCUUGAAUACGUUCCCGGGUCUUGUACACACCGCCCGUCACAUCAUGGGAGCUGAUUGCACCCGAAGUCGAUGCCCCAACCCAGCAAUGGGAGGGAGUCGCCUAAGGUGUGGUUAGUGACUGGGAUGAAGUCGUAACAAGGUAACCGUAA